This 253-nucleotide ribosomal RNA is filed under the name uncultured bacterium. RNAcentral describes it as "partial 16S ribosomal RNA". It matches the Rfam family "Bacterial small subunit ribosomal RNA", at positions 524 to 776 of the family's 1533-position model. The record is from RNAcentral.
UACGUAGGGGGCAAGCGUUGUCCGGAAUCAUUGGGCGUAAAGAGCGUGUAGGCGGCCCGAUAAGUCCGCUGUGAAAGUCCAGGGCUCAACCCUGGGAUGCCGGUGGAUACUGUCGGGCUCGAGUCCGGAAGAGGAGUGUGGAAUUCCUGGUGUAGCGGUGAAAUGCGCAGAUAUCGGGAGGAACACCGGUGGCGAAGGCGGUUCUCUGGGCCUUACCUGACGCUGAGGAGCGAAAGCGUGGGGAGCGAACAGG